AGAAAAUACCACAGUAAGAAAAUCACAGAACUAAAAGUAAUAAGAGUGCUUAUUGAAACAAAGACUUAAAAAUACCAAAGAACCCAAAUCUCUAAAAUAUCCUCAAAAUUUUUUUCCAACAUUGAAGAAAUAGAAGCUAAACCAAAUCCUUAAGAGUGCCAUUGAAAGUAACAAGAAUUUGAAAUAAAGACCCAAAAUCUACUCAAAAUUGCUUAUGUGAACAAUACCAUGAACAUUACGCCCGUCAACCAAAAUGGUUGCCUCUUGAAACUUGAAAUUUUCACCCUGAAACCUUGAAUUGACUUAGCGGCAAUACCGGAAACUUUGACACUUGAAUUGAACUAGGCCAGACCUACUCCGAUACCAUGUUAAGAUUUUUGGAAUGAGAAGAAA
This 393-nucleotide unclassified non-coding RNA is filed under the name Hevea brasiliensis (rubber tree). Lineage: Eukaryota; Viridiplantae; Streptophyta; Magnoliopsida; Malpighiales; Euphorbiaceae. The record is from RNAcentral.